CACAAGGCAAGCAUCACAACAGUAA
This 25-nucleotide non-coding RNA is filed under the name Drosophila melanogaster (fruit fly). Lineage: Eukaryota; Metazoa; Arthropoda; Insecta; Diptera; Drosophilidae. The record is from RNAcentral.